This 254-nucleotide ribosomal RNA is filed under the name uncultured bacterium. RNAcentral describes it as "partial 16S ribosomal RNA". It matches the Rfam family "Bacterial small subunit ribosomal RNA", at positions 524 to 776 of the family's 1533-position model. The record is from RNAcentral.
UACGGGGGGGGGCAAGCGUUGUUCGGAAUUACUGGGCGUAAAGGGCUCGUAGGCGGCCAACUAAGUCAGACGUGAAAUCCCUCGGCUUAACCGGGGAACUGCGUCUGAUACUGGAUGGCUUGAGAUUGGGAGAGGGAUGCGGAAUUCCAGGUGUAGCGGUGAAAUGCGUAGAUAUCUGGAGGAACACCGGUGGCGAAGGCGACAUCCUGGACCAACACUGACGCUGAGGAGCGAAAGCCAGGGGAGCAAACGGG